UACAUGGGGUGCAAGCGUUGCUCGGAAUUAUUGGGCGUAAAGCGCGCGUAGGCGGUUACUCAAGUCGGAUGUGAAAGCCCUCGGCUUAACUGAGGAAGUGCACCCGAAACUGAGUAGCUAGAGUACCAAAGAGGGUCGCGGAAUUCCCGGUGUAGAGGUGAAAUUCGUAGAUAUCGGGAGGAACACCGGUGGCGAAGGCGGCGACCUGGGUGGAUACUGACGCUGAGGCGCGAAAGCGUGGGGAGCAAACAGG
This 253-nucleotide ribosomal RNA is filed under the name uncultured bacterium. RNAcentral describes it as "partial 16S ribosomal RNA". It matches the Rfam family "Bacterial small subunit ribosomal RNA", at positions 524 to 776 of the family's 1533-position model. The record is from RNAcentral.